Molecule: ribosomal RNA, 494 nt
Filed under: uncultured bacterium
Lineage: Bacteria
Description: partial 16S ribosomal RNA
Rfam family: Bacterial small subunit ribosomal RNA
Source: RNAcentral
GACGAACGCUGGCGGCGUGCUUAACACAUGCAAGUCGAACGGAAAGGCCUGCUUUCCCUUGUGGAUUGCGGGUACUCGAGUGGCGAACGGGUGAGUAACACGUGAGUGAUCUGCCCCCAACUUGGGUAUAAGCCUGGGAAACUGGGUCUAAUUCCCGAUAGGACUGCAGGGUGGUGCCUGUGGUGGAAAACGAUUUUCUAGUGGUUGGGGGUGAGCUCGCGGCCUAUCAGCUGGUUGGUGGGGUAAUGGCCUACCAAGGCGGCGACGGGUAGCCGGCCUGGGAGGGUGGACGGCCACAGUGGGACUGAGAUACGGCCCAGACUCCUACGCGAGGCAGCAGUGGGGAAUAUUGCACAAUGGGCGGAAGCCUGAUGCAGCGACGCCGCGUGGGGGAUGACGGCCUUCGGGUUGUAAACUCCUUUCGACCGCGAGGAAGCCACAUGGUUGGAAGGGUGGUGACGGUAGUGGUAGAAGAAGCACCGGCUAACUACGUG